GUUGGUGAACCAGCGGAGGGAUCAUUACCGAGUUUACAAACUCCCAAACCCUUUGUGAACCUUACCUAUCGUUGCUUCGGCGGAUCCGCCCCGGCCGGCCCCUCGGGGCCUCCGGAACCAGGCGUCCGCCGGAGAACCCAAACUCUUUGUUUUACUUUGUUUUCUCCUCUGAGUGGAUUUAUACAAAUAAAUAAAAACUUUCAACAACGGAUCUCUUGGUUCUGGCAUCGAUGAAGAACGCAGCAUCUGA
This 250-nucleotide unclassified non-coding RNA is filed under the name plant metagenome. Its description in RNAcentral is "partial contains small subunit ribosomal RNA, internal transcribed spacer 1, and 5.8S ribosomal RNA". The stretch from base 196 to 250 matches the Rfam family "5.8S ribosomal RNA", at positions 1 to 54 of the family's 154-position model. The record is from RNAcentral.